RNAcentral lists this ribosomal RNA (253 nucleotides) under uncultured bacterium. RNAcentral's name for it is "partial 16S ribosomal RNA". It matches the Rfam family "Bacterial small subunit ribosomal RNA", at positions 524 to 776 of the family's 1533-position model. The record is from RNAcentral.
UACAGAGGUCUCAAGCGUUGUUCGGAUUCAUUGGGCGUAAAGGGUGCGUAGGCGGUCGGGUAAGUCUGAUGUGAAAUCUCAGAGCUCAACUCUGAAACUGCAUUGGAUACUAUUCGGCUUGAGGUCUGGAGGGGGGACUGGAAUUCUCGGUGUAGCAGUGAAAUGCGUAGAUAUCGAGAGGAACACCAGUGGCGAAGGCGAGUCCCUGGACAGAUCCUGACGCUGAGGCACGAAAGCUAGGGGAGCAAACAGG